GUGCCAGCAGCCGCGGUAAUACGUAGGGGGCGAGCGUUGUCCGGAAUCAUUGGGCGUAAAGAGCGUGUAGGCGGCUUGGAAAGUCUUACGUGAAAGCCUGCGGCUCAACCGCAGAAGUGCGUAGGAAACUUCCUCGCUAGAGUCCGGAAGAGGAGAGCGGAAUUCCUGGUGUAGCGGUGGAAUGCGCAGAUAUCAGGAGGAACACCCGUGGCGAAGGCGGCUCUCUGGGACGGUACUGACGCUGAGACGCGAAAGCGUGGGGAGCGAACAGGAUUAGAUACCCUGGUAGUCC
This 292-nucleotide ribosomal RNA is filed under the name uncultured bacterium. Its description in RNAcentral is "partial 16S ribosomal RNA". It matches the Rfam family "Bacterial small subunit ribosomal RNA", at positions 505 to 796 of the family's 1533-position model. The record is from RNAcentral.